RNAcentral lists this long non-coding RNA (880 nucleotides) under Pan troglodytes (chimpanzee). RNAcentral's name for it is "lncRNA (ENSPTRG00000053156.1)". The record is from RNAcentral. Lineage: Eukaryota; Metazoa; Chordata; Mammalia; Primates; Hominidae.
AUAUGAAUGAAGUUGAUUUCAAAGGACAACAACUGCAAAAUUUUGGGGGAUUCUCAGUGACCAAAGUUGCAUGGUCAAGGUUAUACGUGUCUCCUCCCUUCACAUAGUACAGCAAAGCUCUUCUUAUUCAGGCACCAACCAGCCAAGCAAGUUCUCCACCCAGGGUGCUGAGCUCUUAAUGAAACCAGAAGCCAAAAGGUAUGACAGCCUGGUUCUGAAGAUUGCUGCAGUCUGGAGUCUAGUAUUUGCGAACCCAAGAGAGCCAAGAAAGGGUCCUUUACUUAAAGCUGCAAGAAGAAGGAAAAUAAAAACCCCAAAGUUAAGUAUCACCAUCCAGCUGGCACAUGUGCUCAGGCCACAACUGGCUUUGGCAAGUCCCCAUCCUCGAGGCCUCCAGUGGCUCUGAAAUUCUCACCACAAGAAAAUCAUGGGUUUUAAGACACAAGAAUUAAAGAACACAUUGAUGUAAUUUUGGUGCAUGAGCAUUUAGAGAAAUGUGUGUUUGUCUUUGAAGGUUGGCUAACUUUGGAAAUUCUUCAGACCUGUAAUGGGGCUAUUUGCCCGGGAGUUGGUUCUACUGUUCCUGAAGAGACGGCAAUAUUAACCAUCCCCAAAGUGCAGCAUUGAGCCUUUCCCCUUCCCACUACCCCAUACUCAGGAGGAGCAAUCUAUGCCCAAAUUUCUUUUUAAAAUUAGAAGUAUCUCUCUGUAUAUAAACUGAUCGCCUAGAGUCUUAAUCAGAAAGUAAAACUAGUUCUUAAAUUUUCUUGGAGGAAUUUUGCUCAAGUGAUUGUAUUAUUUCUGCUUGAAUAACUCCUUACAAAGGAAAUUCUUAAGCUAUUUUUCCAGAUAAUAGAGUCAAAAUUAGUUUCUUUCUAAU